CCUCCUUCUAUUUUAGCCUUGACUUAGGCUUCAGACCAAAUGACUCUUUAUAUCCGUAUUUAGUACAUUACUUUUCAUCUGAGGGCCCACAGGGCUCUGGUCAAAAGUAUAGAAUGAUAUAGGGAAUAGGGUGGUGGCAAUUGAUUGUCCAGGUCCUGGUGAUGAGGGUUAUAAUGGGGUCUAGUCCAGGUGAUGAGGGUUAUAAUGGGGUCUAGUCCAGGUGAUGAGGGUUAUAAUGAGGUCUAGUCCAGGUGAUGAGGGUUAUAAUGAGGUCUGGUUCAGGUGAUGAGGGUUAUUAUGAGGUCUGGUCCAGGUGAUGAGGGUUAUAAUGAGGUCUGGUCCUGGUGAUGAGGGUUAUAAUGAGGUCUGGUCCAGGUGAUGAGGGUUAUUAUGAGGUCUGGUCCAGGUG
This is a long non-coding RNA of Oncorhynchus tshawytscha (Chinook salmon), 409 nucleotides long. The record is from Ensembl. NCBI's taxonomy places the organism in Eukaryota, Metazoa, Chordata, Actinopteri, Salmoniformes, Salmonidae.